RNAcentral lists this ribosomal RNA (253 nucleotides) under uncultured bacterium. RNAcentral describes it as "partial 16S ribosomal RNA". It matches the Rfam family "Archaeal small subunit ribosomal RNA", at positions 474 to 727 of the family's 1478-position model. The record is from RNAcentral.
AACCAGCACCUCAAGUGGUCAGGAUGAUUAUUGGGCCUAAAGCAUCCGUAGCCUGCUUUGUUAGUUUUCGGUUAAAUCCAUACGCUCAACGUAUGGGCUGCCGGGAAUACUGCAAAGCUAGGGAGUGGGAGAGGUAGACGGUACUCGGUAGGAAGGGGUAAAAUCCUUUGAUCUAUUGAUGACCACCUGUGGCGAAGGCGGUCUACCAGAACACGUCCGACGGUGAGGGAUGAAAGCUGGGGGAGCAAACCGG